CACGUAGGGUGCGAGCGUUGUCCGGAAUUAUUGGGCGUAAAGAGCUCGUAGGCGGUGUGUCGCGUCGGCCGUGAAAACCUGCAGCUUAACUGUGGGCUUGCGGUCGAUACGGGCAUCACUGGAGUUCGGCAGGGGAGACUGGAAUUCCUGGUGUAGCGGUGAAAUGCGCAGAUAUCAGGAGGAACACCGGUGGCGAAGGCGGGUCUCUGGGCAGUAACUGACGCUGAGGAACGAAAGUGUGGGGAGCGAACAGG
This 254-nucleotide ribosomal RNA is filed under the name uncultured bacterium. Its description in RNAcentral is "partial 16S ribosomal RNA". It matches the Rfam family "Bacterial small subunit ribosomal RNA", at positions 524 to 776 of the family's 1533-position model. The record is from RNAcentral.